AUGGUGGGCGUGCUGCUCCUCCUCCUCCUCCUCAAGCCGGCGUCGGUGUCGGCGAUCGGCCACGUCUGCGGCAGCGCCGGUAACUACACGGCCAAAAGCACCUACCGGUCCAGCCUCGCCGUGCUCAACGCUACGUUCCCCGGCAACGCCUCCUCCUCCCCGCAGCUCUUCGCCACCGCCACCGCCGGUGUGGUGCGCGCGCUCGCGCUCUGCCGCCGUGACACCACAAACCUCACCGCGUGCAGAGAGUGCGUCGCCUCCUCGUUCAAGUACGCGCAGAAGAUGUGCCCGAAACACAAGGCCGCAACCGUCUACUACGACUACGACGAGGUAAAUGUCACGCGGCCAGGGUGCCUCCUCGGCUUCUCCGGCGACGGCGGCUUCCUCAGUCCGGGAUCCAGUGUCAUCUGGAACGAUACGUUCUUCCAGUUCUUUAACCCGGUGCAAAUCCCGGGCAAGGCCGGGGUUGUCGCUGCCGCCGUCCGCCAGCUCCUGAGGCAGACGGCGCGGUACGCGGCCGGCACGGCGAGGAGGUUCGCCACAGGGUCCAUGGACUCCAUUGGCAGUGCCGCACCGACACUGUACUCCCUGGCGCAGUGCACGCCUGACCUGUCCGCCGGCGACUGCCUGGCGUGCCUCCGGCGGCUUGUCGACACGCUCAACGCUACAAACUCAGUGCGCGUGGGCGGACGGAUGUUCGUGCUCCGCUGCAACGUGAGAUUGGAGCCUUUUAUGUUCCACAACGACAAAAGCAUGCGGCGGAUUCCAUCUCCAUCAUCCAUCGCUCCGGCACCGGCACCGGCACCAGCACCAGCGCCAGCUCCGGCAAGCAAGAGACAUGGAGUAAAACCUUGGGUAAUUGCCAUUUCGGUAGCUGCUCCUGUAGCGCUAGUUGCACUCUGCUUCAUCGUCUACCAUCGUCGGCGCCUUAGAACCAAGCACACAAAAGAUAAAGGGACAACCUUGCAAGGAAAGAGUACUCACGAGUUUCAUGAAAGAGAUGAACUAGUUUGGGAAAUGGAAACAGAGUUGGCUGAGUUUGCAGUAUUUGACUUUCAUCAGAUAUUAGAGGCUACAGUUAACUUUUCCGACGAAAACAAGCUCGGCCAAGGUGGAUUUGGCCCUGUUUACAAGGGCCACUUUCCUGAUGGAAAUGACAUAGCAGUGAAGAGACUUGAUUCACAUUCAGGACAAGGUUUCAUAGAGUUCAAAAAUGAAGUUGAGCUUAUAGCGAAACUUCAACAUAGAAAUUUGGUUAGGCUCAUGGGAUGUUGCUCUCAAGGAGAGGAGAAAAUACUGGUCUAUGAAUACUUGCCAAAUAAAAGCUUGGAUUUCUUCAUCUUUGAUGAAAAUAGAAAAACACUACUGGAUUGGGACAAACGUCUUGCAAUAAUUGUAGGAAUAGCAGAAGGACUUCUUUACCUACAUAAGCACUCUAGGUUGCGCGUUAUACAUCGAGAUCUUAAGCCAAGCAACAUUCUCUUGGAUAGCGAAAUGAAUGCAAAAAUUUCAGAUUUUGGACUAGCAAAAAUAUUCAGCUCAAAUAACACCGAAGCAAAUACUACAAGGAAAGUAGUUGGUACACUUGGCUACAUGGCACCCGAGUAUGCUUCCCACGGUCUCUUCUCUAUCAAAUCAGAUGUCUUCAGCUUCGGUGUUUUAACUCUUGAGAUCCUUAGCGGGAAAAGGAAUUCUCAUGAAUGUGGAAAUUUCAUCAACCUCCUCGGACAUGCUUGGCAAUUAUUUGAAGAGGAAAGCUGGGUCAAUCUCAUUGAUGCGGCAUUGCUUCCCAACGGUCAUUCGGAAGAAAUGAUGAGGUGCAUUAACAUUGCAUUGCUAUGUGUACAAGAGAAUGCAGUUGAUCGACCAACCAUGUUGGAUGUUGUCGCAAUGCUAAGCAACACGACCAUGAUAGUAGAUAAGCCUAAGCACCCGGCAUAUUUCACGGGGGAGAAAGAAGAACCCACUACAACUCGGUCGUGUAGUGUUAAUGAUGUGACUAUAUCUACAAUAACCCCUAGAUAG
RNAcentral lists this ribosomal RNA (2025 nucleotides) under Triticum aestivum (bread wheat). Its description in RNAcentral is "partial small subunit ribosomal RNA". Lineage: Eukaryota; Viridiplantae; Streptophyta; Magnoliopsida; Poales; Poaceae. The record is from RNAcentral.